RNAcentral lists this ribosomal RNA (253 nucleotides) under uncultured bacterium. RNAcentral's name for it is "partial 16S ribosomal RNA". It matches the Rfam family "Bacterial small subunit ribosomal RNA", at positions 524 to 776 of the family's 1533-position model. The record is from RNAcentral.
UACGAAGGGGGCUAGCGUUGCUCGGAAUCACUGGGCGUAAAGCGCACGUAGGCGGCUUACUAAGUCAGGGGUGAAAUCCCGGGGCUCAACCCCGGAACUGCCUUUGAUACUGGUAGUCUCGAGUCCGGAAGAGGUGAGUGGAAUUCCGAGUGUAGAGGUGAAAUUCGUAGAUAUUCGGAGGAACACCAGUGGCGAAGGCGGCUCACUGGUCCGGUACUGACGCUGAGGUGCGAAAGCGUGGGGAGCAAACAGG